Dreissena polymorpha is the source of this 750-nucleotide long non-coding RNA. RefSeq lists it as uncharacterized. The transcript is spliced from 2 exons. Lineage: Eukaryota; Metazoa; Mollusca; Bivalvia; Myida; Dreissenidae. The record is from RefSeq and is a predicted model, not a curated record.
AGGUCUAUAAAAUUAGUGUUUUGUAACCAAUUUCUUGUAUGUAAGGUGGUGUAUCGGUUGUGACUAGUUAGACACGCAGAAGUUCCGGUUUAUAAUACUUGGUUUUACGUUUUGAGAUUGACGGUUCAAAUAUCAAUUGGAAUCUUGCAUGUUUUAUGACAUCUUUGUGCCAGCAGUCACAGUGCUAACCUCCCCCAAGGCUGAGAGAGACCAGGUCGAGAGUAGCUUAUACUCCGACGGUCAGUUACAGAUCAGUUUCAACGCUCGUAUAUUUAUUAUAAAUCCACUCAAUAAACUUGUAACUGUCGGUGCCUUUGUUGGGAUUCUGCCCCCACAUUUUGGAGCUGCCAGUGUUACAAAUGGAGCCCCCAGUGAGGAUUGUCAUGUGACAGGAGUGGACCAGCGGAGCAUUUGAACAGAUGUUCGUAUUGAUACUUAAAAAGGUACCAAAACAUUAAGUGAUCACAUUAAUACAUAAUAAAUAUUGCGCAUUGUGCCGGCAUACAACAUAGAACUUCAGGAGGACUACACCCAGUGACACACAUCAGGAUUGAGGAACUGUAUUUUGAACAGUAAAGUACUGUGUGGUGGAAAAAAAAUCUGUUGUGUAUGGUGCAGUCACAGUGCUAACCUCCCCCAAGGCUGAGAGGGACCAGGUCGAGAGUAGCUUAUACUCCGACGGUCAGUUACAGAUCAGUUUCAACGCUCGUAUAUUUAUUAUAAAUCCACUCAAUAAACUUGUAACUGUCA